AAUACCUGGCGAAGUAUGGGGAGAGGGUGUCUUGGAUCCACCAGUUGCCCUGUCGUGCCUGGUCCCUCCCCGCGCCUCUUUUCACCGCUGAGAGCCCCACCACCUACCCUAGGUCUCCCUUCAUCAACUAAAUCACCAAGUCCUGUGGAUUCCUCCUCCUGACGUUCCCUCAACUCUUGACCAGGAUAAGAAUCGUUGCUACAGUCCACUCCUUCAAUUAUGGUCCACUUCUUCAAUUUUCCAGAGGACAAAAAUGAGGCAUAUAAAGGCCCAGAGAGGGGAAGCCAGGUACCUAAGGUCACAUAGCAAGUUAAAACAGAGGGAAAAGGCUGCAGAUCAGGCCCUGAGACUGAGGACCUCUUGGGACUUGGGUGGGAGUUAUCUGACUGACAAACAGAUGUCGUGCCGCUGUUUACUCCAUCUCCUUCCUGGAAUCCAGACCCAAAUGACAAAAAGGUCCACUGGAGGGCCCCAACUGGUCAUCUCUCAGGCACUUCAAAUUCCAUCUGUCCCCAUGAACUCACUCUGUGCCCCACCCAUUUCACACAGUUCACCUUAGUUCAGUACCAGGUGCCACCACCCACUGGGUUCCUAUGUUCAAAGCCAGGUGCCACCCUCGGCUCCUCCCUCCCCUUCAUCCAGUCACACACCAAGUCCUAAUUCUGCCUCUUCAGCACCUCUGGAAUGUGUCUGCUUCUCUGUGCUUCUGCUGUCAUGCCCAGGUCCCAACCUUCACUUUCCCAACUGCCCCCUGCCAUGGCCUUCUAUCUGGUCCCUUUGCCUCCAGAUACACCCUUGCCAACCUCAUCUCCAUGCAGCAGCCAGGGUGACUUUGUAAAACACAGGUGUUCCCCGAGUAAAACCUUGAUUUCGCCUUUAAGGCCAAAAUGACUGGUCCCUCACCUUCCUCCUCACUUCACCUAAUUCUUAUGCAAACUUCAAGUCUCAGGUGAAUGGCAUUUUCUCUGGGAAGCCUUCCCAGAUGCUCUCUAACCCCCACCCCACCCUACUCCACACAAGCCCCACACCUGCACCCACCUUGGUCUUGCCCUGCAGACUCUUGAUGGCAGCCUCGGCACAGAGAUAGAAAGCGCCGAUGCACUGAGCCUCCAAGCGCGACGAGUCGAGCAGUGGCACGAGGCGCUGCAGGUCGUCUGGCCCGCGGCCCUGGCUGGUGUCGCUGGCAUCCACCAGGCAGCGGGCGAAGCGGCCGGGGUCCAGCGAGGCCACGAGCGGCUCUACGAGGGCCAGCGUGCCGGAGCGCUCCACCUCGCGCUCCACCUCCUUGUUGGUGGCUAGCACCGCCACGGCGAGGCAGGCGUGCAGUCGCAGCAGCUCGUCCUCCUUGGAGAAGGCGAGUGGGAAGAGCCACUCGGCGGCGCGCUUCUCCACCAUGCGCCGCUGCACCGCCUGGCCCCCGUGCAGCGCACAGUUGGCUAGCGCCAGCGCACAGUGGCGGAGCAGCGCCGGGUCUGUGCGGCGGCACCAAUAGAGCACCGCGUCCAGGCCGCCGGCUGCCACCAGCCGCUGGCACGUCUCCUCCGAGUGCUUGAACAUGUGCUCCAAGAUGCCUGCCACGCUCCGAGCCAGCUCCACUGGCUCGCGCUCCUUUGCCAGGUUCAGGAUCACGCCUAGCCCGAUGCGCGCCACGCGGUCCCUGCCAAGAUGCUUAUCUUAGCCUCCUAGGAGCAAUGGCCUCAUCACUCAUCCUCUCUGGGCCUUGCUAGUGUCAUAUAAUGUCAUGAGUCUGGUCCUCCCUGCCUCCCCCGCCUCCCUCACCUCCUGCCCUGGGAGAACCAGACUUCUCUGCUUAUAAGGGUACUCCAUCCUGGCCACACCCAUUUCCACUCUGACACCCAUCCCUGGAGGAGCAGUAUAUGUAGUGGCUAAGAAUUCUACCUCUAGAGCAGAUUCCCUGGGUCCUGGUUUCUUCUCUACCAUUUUCUAGCUGUGAGAUCUUAGGUACCUUUAUCUUUCUUGGUUUCCUCAUCUCGUAAAUAGGAUAAAAAGAAUACCUACCCCAUAGGGUUAUUAUGAAGUUUAUAAUCCAUGUAAAGUGCUUGGCACAGUGCCUGGCACAUAAAAAAGACUCAAUAAAUGUCAGCUUUUCAUCUCUGAAGUGCCACUUGAAGUACACCACUCUUGGCCUUGCCUUCAAACUUCUCUUCACUCCAUGCAGUGUUAUUGGAGUGUAUUUGUCCAUUCAUUUAAGAGGUCAUUUAUUGAGGGCCUACUGUGUGCCAGGCACUGUGGUAGAGGCUGAAGUUAAACAGUGACUAAGAGUGGCCGGAGCUCAUACACAGCUAACAUAGAGCAAGUAAAUGAUGAAUGGACAGGAUAAUAGUUAUAUGACCAUAAUGAUAGUAAAACCAGGUGAUGUAAUGGAGAGAGCCUGGAUGGAGGGAUAUGUCUGAGGAGGUGACGUCUGAGAGUUAAACAUCCAGAGACCCCUGCCUGCAAGUAUCUGGAAAAAGAGCACAACAGGCAGAGAGAAAAAGGACAAACGCCCCGUGGGCUGAUGAGCUUGGCAUGUUUGGGGAAGAGAAAGAAAGCCAAAGAUAUCUGCAGUGUCUAAAAUCAACAAGGGAUUCAUAUAUUGAAUAUUUAUAAAAAAAUUCAAGUCAACAAGAAAAAGGCAGUAAAUUUAAUGGAAGAGGGGCAGUGGACACAAUAAAUGCAGUUCAUAAAAGAUGAAAACCACAGUGCUAACAAGCAAAUAAGAGAUGCUCUAAUUCAUUAGUAAUCAGAGAAAUAAAAAUUAAAACAGCUAUCACUUUACACUUAGUAGAUGGGCAAAAAGCAGAAACUGGGUAAUACAGGAAGUUGGUGGUGUGUGGGGCCAUGAACACCCUGAAGCCCUGUGGGUGGAGGUGUAGGCUGGGGCGUGUGGGUGAAAUUAAGGAGACAGAAACUCUAUGAACCACAAAUGAGGGCUCUUGGGUUUAUAUCCCAAAGAGAUUGUCACACAGCUCCACAAGAGGACAUGGACAAGUCCAUUCAUUGCAGUGUUAUUUGUGGUGGGGGAAGCUGGGGCAGUCCAGUGUCAAGCCUGGGAGAGUGGAGAGGUAACACAGGCAGGUGCCCACUCUGGAGCACUUACAAGUGACUGAGCAGAUGAUAACAUAGCAACAAGGAGGAUCUUAAAAACAACACUAUUUUAAAGCAAGAAAUAGAAUGUGUUAUAUAACACAGCACCAUUUGUGUACAAUAAGAAUCUGCACAUAAAACAGGAGUAGAGAUUUUACCAGAACACAGUAAACAUUAAACAGAUACACAUUAAACAUAUUGGAUGGUUGCCCAUGGGAUUAAGUUAGAAAGAUAGUGGGACAUCAGUCAAGAGGAGAAAGAGAGACUGCAUUCUAGGCAUAGAUGUAUGCAAAGACUUGGAGGUGUCUGGUGUACUUGGGGACUGUCCCCAUCUCAGCCAUGCUGAAGUGAAGCUACUCCAAGUGGCUGAGGUGGAAGGUUCAAAGGAAGAAUGAGCACAGUGUUCUGGGGGCCUUUUGAGCCAUCUCAAAGCAUUUGUACUUUAUUUUGAUGGCAAAUGGGGAGCCAUUUUCAGGAAGGAGAGUGACUUAGUAACAUGUGGGUUUUAGGAAACUUGUGCUGGCUGCUGUGGGGAGGACAGAUCCACGGGAGAGAGGCUGGAGACCAGCAGAGCAGGCAGGAGAGUUGCCACAUUCCUGGCAGAGGUGAAAGUGUCCUGUCUUCCUGACCUCCACAAAUGAUGUCCUCCACAGAUGAUGUUACCCACAAAGACUUACAGGCCCAGCCAGUCAUGGAGUCCUCGCCCAGUGAGCAUCACAGUGCUUGUGACUCUGUGUCCACUGCAGGGCCUAUCUGAGCCCAGAACAUGGCCUGAGGCCAGUACAGCUUUGCUGAGCUGAUCACUGAGCUUCUCUCCAGCCCAAAGGAACAGAUGGAUCCUAACCAUCCACUUGGGCAGCUGGCACUGCAGUUGUUCCUUUACCCAGGGAGAAAGCCAAAGCUCAAGAGAGGUUACAUGACAUGCCCAGGGUUACACAGCUGGUGAGAGACAGAGCUGGGAUUUGAAUUCAUAUCAGUCCAUUCCCAGGGCUCAAGAUCAUUUGUUGGCACUGUUUGCUUCCAGAACUAUCUGACUACAUAAGCUCUGAAACUAUCGGAACUAGGAUGUGCUUAAGACAUCAUCUAAUCCAACACCACCUUCGUUUCCUGAGGCCCAUUGAGGGGAAGGGCACGUUCAGGAACAUCAGUUUAGAGAGAGGACUUUAUUCUGCAUUUUUGAGCCCCAGCCCUCACCUUCCCCUAUGCACCUGGCACCUUUAAGAGUUAACUCUGCUUAUUGUGAGACUUAUUCACUUAAUUCCCAAUUCUUCUGCAGCCUGAGAAGCUGUGGGUCUGGGUUCAAAUCCCAGCUCCAAAGGAGGGGUAAAUUGUGCACAUACACACACAUACAAGCCUGUAUAUAUUAUAUAUAUAUGUAUCUGUAUAUGCAUAGACUUUCUGGAAAGAUAUACAAGAAACUUGUUUCACUGGUUUGCCUCUAGGGAUGGGAAGAAAAACUUUAAAGGUGUAUGCUUUUUGUACCUUGGCACUUGAAUUUAUGUGCAAUAGUUUUUUUGG
Camelus dromedarius (Arabian camel) is the source of this 4605-nucleotide long non-coding RNA. RefSeq lists it as uncharacterized. NCBI's taxonomy places the organism in Eukaryota, Metazoa, Chordata, Mammalia, Artiodactyla, Camelidae. The transcript is spliced from 2 exons. The record is from RefSeq and is a predicted model, not a curated record.